UGAACGCUUUCGCGGCAGUGUGACAGGACGUCUGCAAUGUGUUUACGGUCUUGUUUGCAUCUUAAAGUGUUUUUAGUCAUUUCCCCUGAUAGAAAGAUGGAUCGUGUGUCGCAGGCAGGUUCAGCGCUUGCGUUUAUUUUCCCGACAGCCAGAAGUACAACCCAAACUGAAGCCAAGAGCACUGUUGGUUUUAUUUGAUCGGACGGGAUCCCUAAACGUGGACCGUAGUGUUUUCACACAAUGAUUGUGCUCGUCCAAUCAGCUGAGCGGCGCUCUGGAGGCUUCCUGAUUGUGCUGGCAGGAAAUCAGGCUCUUAAGACACAACGUAUCUACUGGGCCAUCCAUCAUCUGUUAGCAUGGGCUCAGGCCUGCCAAUACACCCCCUGUUUGAGAGCAGAGCGGCGUCCUCGUCCUUCCUCAUCCCAGCGGCCCUGAGCUCAUCCCAUCUGCAUGCUCCGUCUUCUCCUGGAUGCUGCACACUCGGGACACCUUUUGAGAGUUCUGUCGAAUACGCUGGAUAAUGUUUCCUUUAGUAUAAUCACACCGCAGUAUUGCGUCUGGCGCUUUAAAUGCUGGAGCUCUUUAAAGCAGGAUCGCUUCUGAUUGGCUGCCAGUGUUUUGAAAGUGAAUUCCCAUCAGAGCUAUUACAGUUAAAGUCCUCAGGAAAUCAAUAUUGACUUUAUUUAGUUAUUUAGCACACAUUGCUAGUCUUGUGGUGAGCAAUGAUUGAGUUUUAAAAUACAACAGUGAACACCAUGAAACUAAUUUAAAAAGCCAAAUUCAUCAAAUAAUCAGAAUCACAUCUAGUCAUUUUACAAUCCUGCUACCAGCCUUUUAUUUACACUACACAACCCGUUCAUUCGUGUGAGGAAGCUGCGUUUGAGUUCAUUUGCUCAUCCUGUCAUGCUGUUUGCUGUAUGGUUAACGAUUAAUUCAUCAUUAAUUUAGACGCCGCUCGAUCAUGGGAAUGAUCGAAUAUUGACAUCGCUAACACAGACCAGAACAAAAACAGAUGAUGGUGAUGGGGGUUUGAUGGUUUAUCACAUGUCCCCCCGACUGGGCUUUUGUAUGACCCAGAAUGUAAGUAACAGUUACAGAACCACUGCAUUUCACAAUUCACAAGUUUUCGAUGUUAAUUAGAUUGUAAUUCACAAUUUGAUGCAAUAACAGAUCGGAAUUAAUAUUUGUGAAACUAUACAACACAAAGCAUCAUCUGCAGGAAACAGCAGACAGCUGAAUAAGAUGCAGUUUCACUGUCUGACAGCAGGUGGAGCUCAUGAGACAGCAGAACAAGUGUUUCCUUGUAAACAAAUCAGCAUUUAAAGAUAAUUGCUUUAAUACAGAGAUAAUAAUAAUAAU
Molecule: long non-coding RNA, 1359 nt
Organism: Carassius gibelio (silver crucian carp)
Lineage: Eukaryota; Metazoa; Chordata; Actinopteri; Cypriniformes; Cyprinidae
Exons: 2
Source: RefSeq, a predicted model, not a curated record